UGAUCGAGCACUAGGCGGAGGUCUUAUCAGUUUUGAAAGGGGUUGUAGCUGGUCUCUUACAGGAGGCAUGUGCACACUCUGCUCAAUCCACUUUACACCUGUGCACUUACUGUAGGCUUUAGAUGUGGAAAGCACAAUAAGUUUUUUGUGUUUUGAAGUAUUUGAAGCUUAUGUUUAUUAUAAACCCUAAAGUAUUAAAAUGUUUAUUAUGAUGUGACAUACAUCUUUAUAUACAACUUUCAGCAACGGAUCUCUUGGCUCUCGCAUCGAUGAAGAACGCAGCGAAAUGCGAUAAGUAAUGUGAAUUGCAGAAUUCAGUGAAUCAUCGAAUCUUUGAACGCACCUUGCGCUCCUUAGUAUUCUGAGGAGCAUGCCUGUUUGAGUGUCAUGAUAUUCUCAACCUAUAAAGCUUUUGUUUUAUAGGAUUGGACUUGAAGGUGUGUUGGGUUAAUACUCAGCUCCUUUUAAAUGCAUUAGCUUGGUUUCUUAUGGAUCAGCUCUUGGUGUGAUAAAUGUUCUAUAUCAUGGCUGUGAAGUGUUUGACAAGCUUUAAACUGUCUUUGUGAUAUACAUAAAGAUAUUUUUAAUGACUUUCUCUGACCUCAAAUCAGGUAGGACUACCCGCUGAACUUAAGCAUAUCAAUAAGCGGAGGAA
This 655-nucleotide ribosomal RNA is filed under the name Haploporus odorus. Its description in RNAcentral is "eukaryotic LSU rRNA". The stretch from base 235 to 388 matches the Rfam family "5.8S ribosomal RNA". Lineage: Eukaryota; Fungi; Basidiomycota; Agaricomycetes; Polyporales; Polyporaceae. The record is from RNAcentral.